UACUUUCAUCCUUAAGGAUGGAAGUAAGUAUUAAUAUAAUACUGAAGGAACGCAUU
The submitters of this non-coding RNA (56 nucleotides) gave its source as unclassified sequences. The record is from Rfam.